This 363-nucleotide ribosomal RNA is filed under the name uncultured Ruegeria sp. Its description in RNAcentral is "bacterial SSU rRNA". It matches the Rfam family "Bacterial small subunit ribosomal RNA", at positions 37 to 430 of the family's 1533-position model. The record is from RNAcentral. Lineage: Bacteria; Pseudomonadati; Pseudomonadota; Alphaproteobacteria; Rhodobacterales; Roseobacteraceae.
ACGUGGCGGAGGCUAACACUGCAGGUCUAGCGCGCCUUCGGGUGAGCGGCGGACGGGUAAGUAACGCGUGGGAACGUGCCCUUCUCUACGGAAUAGCCUCUGGAAACGGAGAGUAAUACCGUAUACGCCCUUUGGGGGAAAGAUUUAUCGGAGAAGGAUCGGCCCGCGUUAGAUUAGGUAGUUGGUGGGGUAACGGCCUACCAAGCCUACGAUCUAUAGCUGGUUUUAGAGGAUGAUCAGCAACACUGGGACUGAGACACGGCCCAGACUCCUACGGGAGGCAGCAGUGGGGAAUCUUAGACAAUGGGGGCAACCCUGAUCUAGCCAUGCCGCGUGAGUGAUGAAGGCCUUAGGGUCGUAAAG